This 801-nucleotide ribosomal RNA is filed under the name uncultured bacterium. RNAcentral describes it as "bacterial SSU rRNA". It matches the Rfam family "Bacterial small subunit ribosomal RNA", at positions 642 to 1443 of the family's 1533-position model. The record is from RNAcentral.
UUGAGUGCAGAAGGGGAGAGCGGAAUUCCAUGUGUAGCGGUGAAAUGCGUAGAUAUAUGGAGGAACACCGGUGGCGAAAGCGGCUNUCUGGUCUGUAACUGACGCUGAGGCUCGAAAGCGUGGGGAGCGAACAGGAUUAGAUACCCUGGUAGUCCACGCCGUAAACGAUGAGUGCUAGGUGUUGGGUCCUUUCCGGGAUUCAGUGCCGCAGCUAACGCAUUAAGCACUCCGCCUGGGGAGUACGACCGCAAGGUUGAAACUCAAAGGAAUUGACGGGGGCCCGCACAAGCGGUGGAGCAUGUGGUUUAAUUNGAAGCAACGCGAAGAACCUUACCAGGUCNNGACAUCCCGAUGCUAUUUCUAGAGAUAGGAAGUUACUUCGGUACAUCGGUGACAGGUGGUGCAUGGUUGUCGUCAGCUCGUGUCGUGAGAUGUUGGGUUAAGUCCCGCAACGAGCGCAACCCCUAUUGUUAGUUGCCAUCAUUCAGUUGGGCACUCUAGCGAGACUGCCGGUAAUAAACCGGAGGAAGGUGGGGAUGACGUCAAAUCAUCAUGCCCCUUAUGACCUGGGCUACACACGUGCUACAAUGGUUGGUACAACGAGUUGCGAGUCGGUGACGGCGAGCUAAUCUCUUAAAGCCAAUCUCAGUUCGGAUUGUAGGCUGCAACUCGCCUACAUGAAGUCGGAAUCGCUAGUAAUCGCGGAUCAGCACGCCGCGGUGAAUACGUUCCCGGGCCUUGUACACNCCGCCCGUCACACCACGAGAGUUUGUAACACCCGAAGUCGGUGAGGUANCCUUA